This 253-nucleotide ribosomal RNA is filed under the name uncultured bacterium. RNAcentral's name for it is "partial 16S ribosomal RNA". It matches the Rfam family "Bacterial small subunit ribosomal RNA", at positions 524 to 776 of the family's 1533-position model. The record is from RNAcentral.
UACGUAGGGCGCAAGCGUUGUCCGGAAUUAUUGGGCGUAAAGAGCUCGUAGGCGGUUUGUCGCGUCUGCUGUGAAAACCUGAGGCUCAACCUCGGGCUUGCAGUGGGUACGGGCAGACUAGAGUGCGGUAGGGGUGACUGGAAUUCCUGGUGUAGCGGUGGAAUGCGCAGAUAUCAGGAGGAACACCGGUGGCGAAGGCGGGUCUCUGGGCCAUUACUGACACUGAGGAGCGAAAGCGUGGGGAGCGAACAGG